CUCAGGACGAACGCUGGCGGCGUGCCUAAUACAUGCAAGUCGAGCGGACAGAUGGGAGCUUGCUCCCUGAUGUUAGCGGCGGACGGGUGAGUAACACGUGGGUAACCUGCCUGUAAGACUGGGAUAACUCCGGGAAACCGGGGCUAAUACCGGAUGGUUGUUUGAACCGCAUGGUUCAAACAUAAAAGGUGGCUUCGGCUACCACUUACAGAUGGACCCGCGGCGCAUUAGCUAGUUGGUGAGGUAACGGCUCACCAAGGCNACGAUGCGUAGCCGACCUGAGAGGGUGAUCGGCCACACUGGGACUGAGACACGGCCCAGACUCCUACGGGAGGCAGCAGUAGGGAAUCUUCCGCAAUGGACGAAAGUCUGACGGAGCAACGCCGCGUGAGUGAUGAAGGUUUUCGGAUCGUAAAGCUCUGUUGUUAGGGAAGAACAAGUACCGUUCGAAUAGGGCGGUACCUUGACGGUACCUAACCAGAAAGCCACGGCUAACUACGUGCCAGCAGCCGCGGUAAUACGUAGGUGGCAAGCGUUGUCCGGAAUUAUUGGGCGUAAAGGGCUCGCAGGCGGUUUCUUAAGUCUGAUGUGAAAGCCCCCGGCUCAACCGGGGAGGGUCAUUGGAAACUGGGGAACUUGAGUGCAGAAGAGGAGAGUGGAAUUCCACGUGUAGCGGUGAAAUGCGUAGAGAUGUGGAGGAACACCAGUGGCGAAGCGACUCUCUGGUCUGUAACUGACGCUGAGAGCGAAAGCGUGGGGAGC
RNAcentral lists this ribosomal RNA (762 nucleotides) under Bacillus sp. CJ(2010). RNAcentral describes it as "bacterial SSU rRNA". It matches the Rfam family "Bacterial small subunit ribosomal RNA", at positions 23 to 769 of the family's 1533-position model. The record is from RNAcentral. Lineage: Bacteria; Bacillati; Bacillota; Bacilli; Caryophanales; Bacillaceae.